UAGGGAAUUUUCGUCAAUGGGCGCAAGCCUGAACGAGCGAUGCCGCGUGAGUGAAGAAGGCCUUGGUCGUAAAGCUCUGUUGCGGGGGAAAAAAGGACAGCAUCAGGAAAUGGGUGCUGACUGAUGGUGCCCCGCCAGAAAGUCACGGCUAACUACGUGCC
Molecule: ribosomal RNA, 161 nt
Filed under: uncultured bacterium
Lineage: Bacteria
Description: partial 16S ribosomal RNA
Rfam family: Bacterial small subunit ribosomal RNA
Source: RNAcentral